GGUCGCGUUCACCAGAAUAAUCCGAGUGCAAUCCGAUUAAUUUGCGCUGAAACGCUGACAGUUUUUUUUACUAGUGAACGACUGACGUUUGACAUUCGAUUGAGAGUGUUCUGUGUUCCAUUUGUUUAUGUUUUUACUUUGUUUAUAUAAUUUAUAACCUAGACAGUUUUGUUUUUAAAUAAAACUGAAACUGUGUCUAAACUAAAAUGGAUAAUAUUCUUGAAGAAUUUUUGUUUGGGGACGAAAUUAGCAAAUGCCGUUAUACAUUUAGCAGAUGUACCUACCUCAAAUUAUUCCAGAAGGAUGAGAUGAAAUUAAAUAUAUAUAAACCAUAAUUCAAUAUCCAAUUUAGAGAACAUUUUCGUAUGUCCAGAACUACUUUCCAGGAACUAUUUAAUUGUAUUGGUCAUAUCCACCAAUUUGAAAACAGAAUAAUUCUAUUGGAAAAAAAUUAAUGUUUAUGAUUUGGAUGCUAAGUAAACCAGAGAAUUUGUUGCUGGGGAUACGUUUGGUUUGCCAAAGAGCCCUGGACAUAAGAUUUUCACCCAAAUAAUAUAGAAUUACAAAAAAUUGGAAAUAACUAAUCUUGAAUAUCAAUGUGUAUAUUGAGUUUAAUUUUAUUGUAAAUAUUGUAUUAACACAUUUGUGGACACAUCUUCAUAUGCAGACAGUAUUUUCCGUUUGUAAGUACAUGCAUAUAUAGUCGUAUCUGCAAAUGGGUUAAUUGUAAAUCGUAAUCAAUAAAAAAAUUUUGUGAAUCAAUAAAAAACUGGUUUGUUUGAAAAUAAAUGUAGUACAAAUGUG
RNAcentral lists this long non-coding RNA (804 nucleotides) under Diabrotica virgifera virgifera (western corn rootworm). RNAcentral describes it as "uncharacterized LOC126887218". The record is from RNAcentral. Lineage: Eukaryota; Metazoa; Arthropoda; Insecta; Coleoptera; Chrysomelidae.